AUGAUGAUUUAGAUAUUCUUUAGUUUAUGGUUGAAACUGAAUAACCAUGAAGAUAUUAUUCUAGGGCGGUCUGAUACU
Small nucleolar RNA from Coccinella septempunctata (seven-spotted ladybird), 78 nucleotides. RefSeq annotates it as small nucleolar RNA U43. Lineage: Eukaryota; Metazoa; Arthropoda; Insecta; Coleoptera; Coccinellidae. The transcript has a single exon. The record is from RefSeq and is a predicted model, not a curated record.